CCCUGAAAUCUAUCACUUCUUUUAUCUAGGAGGUAUGUUUUUCAACCUGAUUUGAGUAUCUCUGUUUUGGUAGGGUGUUUUCAUAAAUCCAGCCUUCAUUGAGCCAUUUGGACUUACUUUAAUUGAGGUUAUUACUCUUGAGGAUGUAAUAAAGGGAAUUAAGAUCAUGAGGGAGACUUUGAUAUAUUUGUCACAUCUUGAUCACGAGGACACGAAAAAGCCGGUAUGGGUUUAUGGAAAAUAAAGUAGUAAAUGUA
This is a long non-coding RNA of Humulus lupulus (European hop), 257 nucleotides long. RefSeq lists it as uncharacterized. The record is from RefSeq and is a predicted model, not a curated record. The transcript has 3 exons. Lineage: Eukaryota; Viridiplantae; Streptophyta; Magnoliopsida; Rosales; Cannabaceae.